RNAcentral lists this long non-coding RNA (678 nucleotides) under Phoenix dactylifera (date palm). Its description in RNAcentral is "long non-coding RNA (PDAC_LNC008283)". Lineage: Eukaryota; Viridiplantae; Streptophyta; Magnoliopsida; Arecales; Arecaceae. The record is from RNAcentral.
AUCGGCACAUGAUACAUAUGUCAAUAUAUAUAAAAUAUCCAUGGUCAUAUAGAUGAUAUUACACAGAGAUCAAAUUAUUUAUCUUAAUUAUUAGUAUAUAAUAUAUGCAUGUACAAAAUCACUUAUAACCAUGUAGAUAAUUGUGUUAAGGGUUUUUACCUCGACCGACCACAAACUCUAACAUAGUUACCAACCAAUACCUUUAUUUAGAAACUAUGUGCUUCUAUAAUGCUGGUCAUGUCAGGAGCAUGGCAACCAUGAAUUCUUUUUGGGAACAAUAAACCACACAAUGAACAAGCAACUCCAUAAUCAUAAGAUGAUUUCAAAUAUGUCAUAUGCCAUUAAGGUCAUGCAUUUAGACAAGCAUAAAAAAGACAACAUUAGUUUUAGCAUACAAGAUGCAAGAAGACAUUAGAUUUCAAUUGGAUAAUUUGUGAGUUAGCAUUACCAAUAUAAUGUUGCCAAUAUAAUACAUUUUGACAUUCACAUCAAAUGCUUGUCCCAUGUAGCAUUUGCAAACUAAAUUUUAUCUACAAUGUUAAAUUUCUUAUAUUCUUUCUUGUUGCAUAAAAACCUAACGUAAAUAUGUUUUAGCAAGAACUCAUCACCAUCCAUUAUCUCCGUGAGCUCGCUCCCUAAGUGUCCGGCGAGGGUAAGCCAUAGACCAAACGAUCUCAA